GACGAACGCUGGCGGCGUGCUUAACACAUGCAAGUCGAGCGGUAAGGCCCUUUCGGGGGUACACGAGCGGCGAACGGGUGAGUAACACGUGGGUGACCUGCCCUCAGCUCUGGGAUAAGCCUGGGAAACUGGGUCUAAUACUGGAUAUGACUCCACGGUGCAUGUCGUGGGGUGGAAAGCCUUGUGCGGCUGAGGAUGGGCCCGCGGCCUAUCAGCUUGUGGUGGGGGAUGGCCUACCAAGGCGACGACGGGUAGCCGGCCUGAGAGGGCGACCGGCCACACUGGGACUGAGACACGGCCCAGACUCCUACGGGAGGCAGCAGUGGGGAAUCUUGCGCAAUGGGCGAAAGCCUGACGCAGCGACGCCGCGUGA
Molecule: ribosomal RNA, 373 nt
Filed under: uncultured bacterium
Lineage: Bacteria
Description: bacterial SSU rRNA
Rfam family: Bacterial small subunit ribosomal RNA
Source: RNAcentral